CUGACCUUAGCUCAGUUCGUAGAGCGGAGGACUGUAGUUUGAUUAAUCUAAAUUGGAAAUCCUUAGGUCACUGGUUUGAAUCCGGCAGGUCGGA
This 94-nucleotide transfer RNA is filed under the name Ipomoea nil (Japanese morning glory). It matches the Rfam family "tRNA". From Rfam's summary of the family: Transfer RNA (tRNA) molecules are approximately 80 nucleotides in length. Their secondary structure includes four short double-helical elements and three loops (D, anti-codon, and T loops). Further hydrogen bonds mediate the characteristic L-shaped molecular structure. tRNAs have two regions of fundamental functional importance: the anti-codon, which is responsible for specific mRNA codon recognition, and the 3' end, to which the tRNAs corresponding amino acid is attached (by aminoacyl-tRNA synthetases). tRNAs cope with the degeneracy of the genetic code in two manners: having more than one tRNA (with a specific anti-codon) for a particular amino acid; and 'wobble' base-pairing, i.e. permitting non-standard base-pairing at the 3rd anti-codon position. Lineage: Eukaryota; Viridiplantae; Streptophyta; Magnoliopsida; Solanales; Convolvulaceae. The record is from Rfam by way of RNAcentral.